AGAAGGUUAGGUAGCUAGAUUGAGAGAAAGGCCCAUUUAAGAAGAAUCAAGAGGCUUCGUCUUCCUUCUUCAAAGUUUCUUGAUUCACUAAUACAGAAAUGGAGAUGCAAUUUGCUAGGCCCGCCAACCAUAAAGCCAUGUUGAAGUCCGAUCACAAAACUCCACAUGGCCAUAUCUCUGUUUUGUGAUCGUUGGAGGGUUAUGCCUUCCAGCGCUGUUCUUCCUCAAUCUGCGAUGGCUAAUGAUUUCGAUGGCCCAUUGUUCCUCUUCUCUCACCCAUUUCCGUUCUGGGUGGAAGCAGGCUCUUUCUGAUCAUGAUGAUGGUGACUUUUCCAAGUUUCUCCCCUGCAUUAGACCCAAAUCUUGUCGAUGGGUCGACUGUGAAGGCGGUUCGUGCAACAAGACGUCGUGGUUGGCAUACAAAUGUGGUUGUUUGAAGGGCUAACACUGCCUUUCCAUGCUUAUUCUGAGUUGUGUUUGAUACUCAAUUUGAAGGCUCAAUGAGUAUGGAUUCCAAGGA
Molecule: long non-coding RNA, 520 nt
Organism: Cucurbita maxima (winter squash)
Lineage: Eukaryota; Viridiplantae; Streptophyta; Magnoliopsida; Cucurbitales; Cucurbitaceae
Exons: 3
Source: RefSeq, a predicted model, not a curated record